UGGGGAAUAUUGGACAAUGGAGGAAACUCUGAUCCAGCAAUUCUGUGUGUGUGAAGAAGGUUUUGGGACUGUAAAACACUUUUAGUAGGGAAGAAAAAAAUGACGGUACCUACAGAAGAAGCAACGGCUAAAUACGUGCCAGCAGCCGCGGUAAUACGUAUGUUGCGAGCGUUAUCUGGAAUUAUUGGGCUUAAAGGGCAUCUAGGCGGUAAGACAAGUUGAAGGUGAAAACCUGUGGCUCAACCAUAGGCUUGCCUACAAAACUGUUGAACUAGAGUACUGGAAAGGUGGGUGGAACUAAACGAGUAGAGGUGAAAGUCGUAGAUAUGUGUAGGAAUGCCGAUGAUGAAGAUAACUCACUGGACAGAAACUGACGCUGAAGUGCGAAAGCUAGGGGAGCAAACAGG
This 407-nucleotide ribosomal RNA is filed under the name Verrucomicrobiota bacterium. Its description in RNAcentral is "Verrucomicrobia bacterium partial 16S ribosomal RNA". It matches the Rfam family "Bacterial small subunit ribosomal RNA", at positions 355 to 776 of the family's 1533-position model. The record is from RNAcentral. Lineage: Bacteria; Pseudomonadati; Verrucomicrobiota.